GACGGAGGGUGCAAGCGUUGUUCGGAAUUACUGGGCGUAAAGCGUACGCAGGCGGCGGGUUAAGUCGAAUGUUAAAGCCUGGGCUCAACCCCAGAGAUGCACUCGAUACUGGCUUGCUAGAGGGUGAUAGAGGAAAGCGGAAUUCCCAGUGUAGCGGUGAAAUGCGUAGAUAUUGGGAGGAACAUCAGUAGCGAAGGCGCUUUCUGGGUCACACCUGACGCUGAGGUACGAAAGCGUGGGGAGCAAACGGG
Molecule: ribosomal RNA, 251 nt
Filed under: uncultured bacterium
Lineage: Bacteria
Description: partial 16S ribosomal RNA
Rfam family: Bacterial small subunit ribosomal RNA
Source: RNAcentral